Long non-coding RNA from Balaenoptera ricei (Rice's whale), 2363 nucleotides. RefSeq lists it as uncharacterized. The transcript has 5 exons. The record is from RefSeq and is a predicted model, not a curated record. NCBI's taxonomy places the organism in Eukaryota, Metazoa, Chordata, Mammalia, Artiodactyla, Balaenopteridae.
GAGGGGAGCCGGCUUCUGGGCGCUUGGUCUCGGGCAUCGAAACAGGUGUCUAGGUGGUUUCCAUCUAACUGAAAUGUCUGAGUACACAUAAAGUUUUAACCUUCUUGGGAGAAAUCGUGACUACGGCAUGGUGUGGUAGCAAUAACAGGUCACCGUUUUGUUCAGGCUCUUGUGCUGCCAGUGACAGAAGACCUAAUUCGAGGUAGCUUAUAUAGUAAUACUGCCAUGUGAGCGCCGGCUAGGUGCCAGGCUCUGGUGUAAGUGCUGUACGUGGACCUUGGGAUGGAGAAAGAAAAAUAAAACCGAAACAAAAAGGAGAUGCGACUGAUGAAAGGCCAGGCACAGCCAGACAAAGGUUGAAGCAGUGUCACUUGGACCUAGAGUCCCUCCCUUCCUGUCUGGUUCUUGCUCCUUCCUGAGGACGCACUGGGGAAGCCCUCCAUGGGUUGACUCCAGAGGGAGAAAAGGCAGAAGCCUCUGAUUCACCCUGGAUGGCGUUAUGGAGUUUUGUGUGUAAUGAGGGAAUGGCAUUUGUGGACUGGCUUAAUCUGGAGAUGUGGGUUGUUAUGGAUGAUAUGUUUGUGUCCCCCCCAGAAUUCAUACCUUGAAACCCUAAUCGCCAGUGGGAUGGUGUUUGGAGACAGGGCCUUUGGGAGGUAAUUAGGUCAUGAGGGUGGAGCCCUGAUGAAGAGACUAGUGCCUUCAUAAGAAGAGACACAAAAGACCUCACGCCUCUUCCCCUUGUGAGGAUACAGUAAGAGGGUUGCUGUCUUCAAGCCAGGAAUCAGGCUGUCCCCAGACGCCAUCUCUCCUGGUGCCUUGAUCUUGGACUUUCAGCUUCCAGAAUUUUAUGGUCACGCCUCUUUCCCCCCAAGUAAUAAAGCUCAUCUAUUAAAGGAAGGUUUAGGAAUGCAAAUUUCGGGGUUGUUUGACAAGCUACUUCACUGCCUGGUGUGGUUCUUUGGGCAUCAUGAGGCAAACAGCCGGGCUGUGAAUAGCCUCCGGGGACCGGGGGCAGCCUCUGGAUCCCAGGGCAGCCAACAGCCAGCAAGAAGCCAGGACCCUCAGUCAUCAGCUGUGAGGAAAUGAAUCCUGUAAACACCUUGCAUGGGCCUGGCAGCGGAUUCUCCUCACUGAGACCUCCAGAGGCCCGGCCCUGCCCAGCUCCUCCCGGCCUUCCUGUCGCACGAUGGCCCUGCCCCCGUGGCCUUCUCCAUCACUCAUUCAUGUCGGCCCCUGCCCAUCUUCUGCUGGAGCGUAAGGGGACUCUUCCUGGCCCCCGUCCUCAGGCUCCCGCCCACCGCCCAGGGGCAUCUCACUGACGCCAGCCAUGUCCACCGUGCAGGCAGCAGGCACUGGGAAGACAGAGAUAAGAUACAGAGGAGGGUUCAGUGGACCCAGCUCAGUGGGGAUGUGGCCUCUUUCCUCCAAGUUGGGGGUGAUACCUGAGUAUCACAGCCUUGAUACGAAGUAUGAGUCCCCACAGCGUCCAACGCACAGCAGGAGCCGGACACACGUUGGUUUCUCCCUCGAAGUUCCAUUUAGAAUUGGCGAUUCUGUCAUUCUGGAAGGUGAUGGGGUAAAACUGCCCCCACAGAAGAGAGGUUGUUGUAUUUCUGAAAGGAUGGUGGACAUCUUCGUGUAAGAAAGCCCGGCUCCCAGAGGUGAAGUGACUUGUCCAAGUCACACAGGGAGUUUGUAGAACCGUCAGGAUGGGGACCGCAUGCCUCCUCAGCAUCCAAAUGUGGCUGAAGUUUUCUUGGACUCCGCCUGCCCUCAGUCAAGAAGUCCUGGAGGAGCACCCUGUUCUUUUACUCUGAAUGUGGCAGACGUAAAAGGUGUUCAGUUCAUUUUGCGCGUGGUUGCCAUAAAUGUGUGGACUUUUGUGUUUUAGCUCAUCGUUAGUCCAGAUACAUCACUGACAUCUAUUGAUACUGCAGUGCUUUUCAGAGGUUUUGAGUACAGCUGCUUGGUAACUUAUUUAGAUAGAAACUUUCUAUUCAGAACUCACUCUCUGUUCUUGCGAGAAUUGCUAGAAAAUGUUGACUUAAAGAGAUGCUUCUGUGUUUCAUUGCACAAGUAAGUGUGUUCUACCGGGCAGGAUUAUGCAGUGAGGACCACCUCUUAGAGACUGAAGGGCGUAGUAUGGAUUUAAAUAUAGUAAUACAUCCAGGCAGACCUCGGGGGUAUUUUGGGUUUGGUUCCAGACCACCGCAAUAAAGCGGGUCACACAAUUUUUUCUUUUCCCAGUGCAUAGAAAAGUUAUGUUUACAACACACUGUAGUCUGUUAAGUGUGCAAUAGCAUUAGAUCUAAAAAAACAAUGUGCAUACCUUAAUUAAAAAAUAAUUUAUUGAUAAAAAA